AGAGUUUGAUCAUGGCUCAGAAUGAACGUUGGCGGCGUGGAUUAGGCAUGCAAGUCGAACGAGAACCUUCCUUCGGGGAGGGGAAAGUGGCAAACGGCGUAGUAAGGCGUAGGUGACGUGCCCUCGGGUCUGGGAUAGCCACGGGAAACUGUGGGUAAUACCGGAUGACCCUGCUGGGAUUGAAAACCGGCAGGCAAAGGUGAGAUUCCGCCCGGGGAGCGGCUUGCGUGGUAUUAGCUAGUUGGUGAGGUAACGGCUCACCAAGGCGACGAUGCCUAGGGGGUGUGAGAGCAUGGCCCCCACGACUGGGACUGAGAUACUGCCCAGACACCUACGGGUGGCUGCAGUCGAGAAUCUUCGGCAAUGGGCGCAAGCCUGACCGAGCGACGCCGCGUGUGGGAUGAAGGCCCUUGGGUUGUAAACCACUGUCAGAGGGGAUGAAAUGCAGGUGGGCUAUCCUGCCUGCUUGACAUAGCCUCAGAGGAAGCACGGGCUAAGUUCGUGCCAGCCGCCGCGGUAAUAC
This 523-nucleotide ribosomal RNA is filed under the name uncultured bacterium. RNAcentral describes it as "bacterial SSU rRNA". It matches the Rfam family "Bacterial small subunit ribosomal RNA", at positions 8 to 526 of the family's 1533-position model. The record is from RNAcentral.